CAGUAGCCGCGGUAAUACGUAGGGUGCAAGCGUUAAUCGGAAUUACUGGGCGUAAAGCGUGCGCAGGCGGUGUUGUAAGACUGAUGUGAAAUCCCCGGGCUCAACCUGGGAACUGCAUUGGUGACUGCAACGCUGGAGUGCGGCAGAGGGGGAUGGAAUUCCGCGUGUAGCAGUGAAAUGCGUAGAGAUGUGGAGGAACACCGAUGGCGAAGGCAGCCCCCUGGGCCAAUACUGACGCUCAUGCACGAAAGCGUGGGGAGCAAACAGGAUUAGAUACCCCUGUAGUCCCUGUCUCUUAUAC
Molecule: ribosomal RNA, 301 nt
Filed under: uncultured bacterium
Lineage: Bacteria
Description: partial 16S ribosomal RNA
Rfam family: Bacterial small subunit ribosomal RNA
Source: RNAcentral